AUACCAUUUCUCACGAUCCACGGUACUAUUAUGUAGAUCGGAUGCAAUCAGAUGGUUGAGAUCCGAUCUAGCAUGCAAUCGGACAGUGCAGAUGGCUAGCGAGCAUGAUCUGGUUCUAAUGGAGCUUGAUCGAGAGCGAUCAAGCAGUUGAGAAGAUUUGCGGUACUGAUCGGAUGGCCAUGAUGAAGCGAAAUUCAGUGCAGAGAUAAAAUGGUAAUUUUAAAACUUUUUCAAAAUUAUGAUUUUAUAGUGGAAAAUUAUUAAUUAAUCUAAUUAAUU
Molecule: long non-coding RNA, 279 nt
Filed under: Elaeis guineensis (African oil palm)
Lineage: Eukaryota; Viridiplantae; Streptophyta; Magnoliopsida; Arecales; Arecaceae
Description: long non-coding RNA (EGUI_LNC061510)
Source: RNAcentral